Molecule: long non-coding RNA, 2094 nt
Filed under: Mus pahari (shrew mouse)
Lineage: Eukaryota; Metazoa; Chordata; Mammalia; Rodentia; Muridae
Description: lncRNA (MGP_PahariEiJ_G0002133.1)
Source: RNAcentral
GCCUUUAUUCGGAGGGAAGGAUCAGCACCCACCCCCAUCCUCCAAUACACAGGCUGGAACCCGGGAAGAAGGCAGCUGGUAGAGGAGCAAGGGAGGCAAAGAGACGCCAAGCCUGGAGAUAAAUAUCUGCAAUUCCAGCUGAAGCAGAAGGAUUAGGAAUUUAGCACCAGCUUGGGCUAUACAGUGAGACCCUGCUCUCAGAAGACUUCCAAUAGUGUUGACUGUUAUUUAUACUUUGGACCUACAUGGCUUGUAGGUUUCUCUAUCAUGGUAUUAGUUCUGGUUCAUCUUUUUGGUCUAUUUAUAUUUUAGAAAGAUCCAUUAUAUGUGGAUGCAUGCUCUGCCUACAUGUAUUUCUGUGCACCACUUGCAUGCCUGGUGCCACAGAGGUAGAAGAGGGCAUUGGAAUCCCCUAGAAUUGGAGUUACAGAUGGUUGUGAGCCACCACGUGGAUGCUGGGAAGUGACUCAUGUCCUUCUGUAAGAUAACCACUGAGUCAUCCCUCCAACCCACCUUUUGCAUUUAUUAUGUAUUGUGUUAUUAUAUAUUACAUUAUGUGUGGCCCAUGUGCAGAGGUCAGAUGAUAUUCCUUCCCCCACCUUCCUGGGGACCGAUGUUAGGGUCAUCAGGCUUGGUAGCGUCUUUACCCACGGAGCCAUCUCUCUGGCCCUUGGGGAAAUGGUCUGUAUAGCAUCUAGCCAGUGUACCCUGAUCCAUAUCAUAAAGAACCAACCUGGUGGCUGGAGGUAUCAUACAGGAAGUUGGCCCAGUUGGGAUCAGUCUGCAUGAAUCUGAACUCAAACAGUUCCCGCAGACACAACCUCAGGAGCUGGAAGCAAAUCUGGAGGAACAAGAAGAGGACAUGCCAGUGAGGGACACGCCGGUGAGGUGUCCUGCCCACCCUCCUGCCUGGGAAAGAAAGUGAGCGCCUGGCUCUUCCGGGUUCCGUUCCACAGGAGAGGUACCUGAUUCCGGAUGUCCUGGCUCAGGCCCUGGCACUGGUCUAGAGGGAUUCCCCCAGCCAGCUCCAUGCCCAGCACCCGUGUAGUGCAUAGCUCCUGCACCACAGCUGGCACUCGGAAGAAGGGGUCGUCAGCCAAGAGCUUCCUGGGACAGGAAAAGGGCAAGGGAUGAGAGACUUCAUGCUUUAGAGCCCAGAGGCUUGGUUUGAGCUGGCCCAUUUGCCUGAGAAGCCCUUCAGGCCAUCUUGUUGUAGGCUUUCCUCCCCUCCCUCCAGUCCCCUUCUCUGGCUUGGCUGCCUUGGGUGACAGCCAAUACCUGGCUGGACUGGCAUUUAACAGACACUGUAGAACUGAGUAGUCUUUUAACUGGGUGUAGCUGGAGACCCAGUUACUACUUCCCCCCUACUAACCCUUCUGACCCUCUUCUGGUUACUCGACGAUGAGCUCAGAGUAUUUAGUUCACACAUCACUUUAAAAAAUAACUAUUUUAUGACCAGUGAGAUGGCUUAGAGGAUAAAGGCACUUGUCCCAAAGCAUAUGACUUUUUGAUCUCAGGGCCCACAUAUUCUUAAAAGUUGUCCUCUGAUUCCCACAUAUGUGCAACAACAUUUGUACACUGGCAUGUACACACACAUACUAAGUAAUAAACAUUAUAAAUUUUUUAUUGAAGAGUUUUUACUCUAUGGCUCUACAGUGAUAAUCACUGGUCACUCCUUGGGGUCACUAGAGAAUCCUAUUUCAACAUUUCAGUUACUUGUGGUAAACCUUGGUCUAAAAAUAUUAAAUGGAGAAUUCUAAGCUGGACAUGGUAGUGUGUGUCUAUAAACCUAGCAUUGGAGAAUCAGAGCCAACUCCUGUGACACAGCAUGUUUCAGGCCAGCCAGGGUACAUAAGAUUCUGUUUCACAAAACAAUCAAGAGAAAAGGGGGCAGGUGGGCUAGAGAGAUGGUUCAGUGGUUAAGAGCACUGGCUACUCUUAUAGAGGACCUGGGUUCCCAAAAUGGUGGCUCACAAUCUGUUAACUCCAGUUCCAGGAAAUCUGAUGCCCUCUUCUGGCCUCUGAGAGUACUGCAUGUACAUGGUGCACACACAUACACACAAGCAAAACAUCCAUAUAAUAAAAAGAAAUCUC